GUCUGAUGCCCAGCUGACAUCUGGAGGACAGGAGUGCAGUGUGAAGAGGUGAAGGCAGGGAAACAAGUGGCCCGCCCGGGGCCUCGAGGCUGGGCUAGCAAAGCUGAGAAUAUCAGUCGCCCAUUCUCCCCUGGUCACCAGCCCUGAUUUGUCCUUGGAGCUUCAAAUAGUGUCUUUGAGAAGUGAUGCUGACAUCACCAUAGUUAGCGUUUGCUGAGAGCCAGACUCCGUGCUGGGGGACCAGGGUGGGGAGAGUGAUAAUUUGCAGACCAGUAUAUGAAAGAGCAUCUCACCUCAACACGGCAUUUACGGAAGGCCCAGGGAGUCAGAGCGGGUGGUGGGAGCCCAGGCCCCUGGGCAUCAGGCCAGGCUUCCCAAUGGGACGUUGAGACCUUGCAGGACUCGUGAAAACCUCGAAGCUGCCAUGACCUGCAAGAAUGCAACAAUGGUGGAAUUGCAGUGCUGCAAAGACAGGACUCAGUGCCAAUUCACAGAGGAGGAAAUGGAGGCUCAGAGAAUUAAUCAUCCACCUGAGCUCACACAACAGGGACUCAAAGCCUCACCAAGACUCCAAGCAUCGCUCUGGAGACUAUCAGACUCCAGGGGCCCAGCACAGAGCCAGGUCUGAACCAAGUCCUCUCGGCUGGAACCCCUGUUCUGCCCAGUUCAGGCAUCAGGUAGGUACCACGAGACUUGAAAUACCAGGAAGAGGAACGGGAAGCUGGCUGACAUCAGGUUUUCCGAGGGGCUUGUGGGUUUCUGUUAUCCCCCACUUUGAAAAGCCUGAUUGGGUUCAGGGUCAGAACCACCCUUUGCUCUAAGAGCAUUAAGCUGCUUCAGAGAAAAUGGCUUUGUUGGGUCUUUGGAAACCGUUCCUGAGAAAUGAUGGCGGCAGAUAAUGGACGUUCAGCAAACCUGUCUCUGACGCGCUGCUGGCUUUGGACGUGGUCCGAGAACUAGUGUGCUGUUGGUCUCCGGUUCCAGUCCCAGCUGGUCCUGGCUGCCCUGGGAAGAGUCAUCAUCCUGUGAGACUAACAACAACAACAGGGGAGCCUUCGCACGGCUCUGCAUGUGAUCGAGACCCACCACGUGCCAGGCCGCUGGGGCAUCUGUCCGCUGCCCCAUGAGGUUUGUCCUUAAAAUCAGAAGAGUCCUCCUCCUUCUCCUCAAAGUUUUCCUGUUUGGGGACUUGGGGGAAGGCUGACCAGGGUGUGGAGAGUCUGAGACCCAGCCGCAGGGUGCUAAUUGAAGGCAGGGCCUGAAGAAGGUAAGUUGGUAGCAAGAUAAAGGCGUAUGAGUGGAGCCUGCAGUUAUUUUCAAGGCUCUGCGGCUAUAAAUGAAGCAAUGACAGCACUGCUAACAAACAAUCAUGCUGUGGUGCUGGAUGCUGAGUUAAAGCUUUCCUGUGACACCUCAUUUGAACCCCAUAACCACUCUCUGCAGUGACUCUUACUAGCCCCACUUUACAGAUAAGGAAAC
This 1479-nucleotide long non-coding RNA is filed under the name Equus caballus (horse). Its description in RNAcentral is "lncRNA (ENSECAG00000030004.3)". The record is from RNAcentral. Lineage: Eukaryota; Metazoa; Chordata; Mammalia; Perissodactyla; Equidae.